Nothobranchius furzeri (turquoise killifish) is the source of this 2334-nucleotide non-coding RNA. The record is from RefSeq and is a predicted model, not a curated record. Lineage: Eukaryota; Metazoa; Chordata; Actinopteri; Cyprinodontiformes; Nothobranchiidae.
UCUCUGGGGUACAGACACGUCUCUCCUUUAGUGAAAUUACAGAAGACCUUGAAGGAGUCUCUGGAGCAGCCUUGGUUUGGGUCAAUCCAGUACUCUCCUGCAGAAAGGUCCGGUGGAUCCAUGAGGCCCAGGCAUGCCCCGGUCUCCUUUCUCUCCCUGCUCUCCUGAAGGUCCGAUCAGACCGAUGAGACCCUGGUGACCCUUCUCACCCUUUGCACCAGGAUCUCCACGCAGGCCAGGUAGACCGGGAGGUCCCUGCAGCACAUCAGAGGAGGAGGUCCAGGUGGGCCCGUCUGUCCAGCAGAUCCUGGAGAUCCUUGCUCUCCCUGAAACAUCAAACAGGAUCAGCUGCUGGAUUCUAACUAAAUACAAACGCUGCUGAUUCUGAUUCCCAGGAAAACCCACCACUGAUCCUGGAAGUCCUCUGAGACCUUCUGUUCCCGGUUUUCCCGGCUGACCCUGAGGACCAACGGGGCCGGUCUUCCCUGGGGGCCCGACGGCACCUGGAUCCCCCUAAAGGUCGUCCUCGUCCUCCAGCAGGUCCAGCAGUUCCAGGUUGUCCAGCUUCUCCCUUCUCUCCGCGUUCUCCACGAAGACCCUGACAACGAGAACACGGCUGUUAGCUAACCGGUCAGCGGGGCAUCAGAAGACUUUGGCUCACUCAGAAGCAACUAGAAGAGCUCCAAGCACUCACGUCGGCUCCGUUGGGUCCAGCAGGUCCGCGGGGUCCUGGAGGUCCAGGAGGACCCUGGAGACAUAAAAAAGUUGUAUUGCUGUAGAAGAAAGAAGCCACAUCUCCAGUUGUUUUAAGCUCACCAAUGGCCCAACGUCUCCGGUCUCUCCCUUCUCACCCGAUGGUCCAGGCAGGCCCUGUAGACCAGAAGAAGUUUAACCAAAAACUGGUUAGCAGCUUAGCUCAGGAACCUAAACACGAGCGACUCCAACAGAAAACUGUUUAUUGGUUUUUCUUCUUUCACCUGAAGUCCGAUAGGUCCCGGAGCUCCCGGGAAUCCUCGAGUUCCUUCGUCACCUUUAGCUCCAAAAGGUCCCUGCUGCCCCCUUGGUCCCAGCUCUCCAUCUGCCCCCUGCCCCACAGAGGAGAUAAGAAAUGGCGACAGAAAUAAGGAAACGGGAACAUGAACAGAGACGAGGGGGCCUAUCAGCUGUCUCGCACCUGGGAUUCCCUUCUCCAAAGACCAGCCAGCGGAGGUGGGCGUGACCGACCCGGCGGAUCUGACAGAUCCGGCUUGGCCACGCCCACCGGAAGAACAGCUGAUAGACGCGUCACACAAACACCUGUGACACUUCUGAAGAAGACCGCAGACGACGGUCGAAACAUGUAAAGGUACUCCAGGUGAUCCAGCAGGGCCGGGCAGACCCACUGGACCCUGGACUCCAUCCCGCCCUGCUGGGCCAAUGGGGCCUUUCUCGCCCUGUAAAGGAGAACGUCUGAAGUUAUUCCGUCUUUAGCUCGCCACGCCGAGUUAAAGGAUAUAUUUUAGGUUUGCGUUACUGAUUAAAAACGUCCUGAUAACUCACUGGAACGCCCUUCUCUCCAGCUUGUCCUGGUGUUCCUUGAGGACCUGGUCUGCCAGGAGGUCCCACAGGUCCAGCGGUUCCAGCAGAACCUCUCUCACCAGGAGAACCCUAGAAAGUACACAUGUUGGUACACUUAACAGUGAGCGAGUACUUCUACCUUUGAUUGGGUCUUCUGACAUCAACAUCAGCCUGACUCUGACAGAAACGACCUUAACCCUCAGGCUUCACUUUAACUUUCAUACAAAAGAGUCAUUAGAGGGCAAAAACGUCCGCUUGUAAGGUUUUUUUUUAGCUUUCUCGCCUGGGCAACAUAUGGAGAAAUGACAGAAUUUGGUGGUGAACAGUAAAAAUCAUAAAUUUGACUACUUUGUCCAAAAUGAAACCAUAACAUCACAGAAAGCAUGAUUACUUGCUGCAGAUGAUGCAGGAUCAAAAACUGUGGUUUGCAUUGAAGUCAAUGGGACGUUUUUGCCUCUAAUGGCUCGAGUGUAUAGUGAAUUUUAAAUCUGUUGCUAUGUAAAAACUAUAAAUGCAAAAAAUUCAAAAUUUUAGAUAUUUCAUAACAUAAUCAAGACUGAUUGGAACUAAACACCCCAGGCAUUAAAAAAUGUCUUUUUUAGAAAAUAACUCAGUUUUAGUUUUUUUUCUUCAUAAAUUACAUCAAUGACUGAGUAUUCAAACUGGCAUUUCAAGGGUUAAAAGCCUCAAAAUGACUGAUUUUUUUUAUGUUUGAGCAGGGCUGAAGUUGUUCAACAGAUGUGUGAAAAAAAAACAUUAAAAAAAAUUUUAUAGCCA